This 897-nucleotide ribosomal RNA is filed under the name Simulium fenestratum. RNAcentral's name for it is "partial 16S ribosomal RNA". Lineage: Eukaryota; Metazoa; Arthropoda; Insecta; Diptera; Simuliidae. The record is from RNAcentral.
UUUUAAUAUAUCUAGUUUUUUAAGAAAUAAAUUUAAUUUAGAUAACUUAUUUUAAUAAUUUAAUUUUAUAAAUCAUUAUAAUGAGUUAUUAAUAUUUUAAGGGAUGAGCUUUAAAAUAAAAUUUUAUAAAUAACUUUUAUUAAGUAAUAAUUGUAAGCUUAGAAUUAGCUAUCAAUAGAAAUUAUGUUUUAAUUUAUUUUUUAAUUAAUAUUAUUUAUUAUUUAUUUUAAAUUUUUUAUUAAAAUAUAAAUUUUAAUCUUUUAAAUUUAUUAAUAAUGAUAAAAUUAGUAAAUUAAAUAAUUAUAUAAAUAAAUCUAUAUUUUGAUUGGUUUUUAUAAUUAAUUCGGCAAAUUUUGUGUUCACCUGUUUAUCAAAAACAUGUCUUUUUGGUUAAUUAAUAUAAAGUCUGACCUGCCCACUGAAUAUAUUUUGAAGGGCCGCAGUAUUUUGACUGUGCAAAGGUAGCAUAAUCAUUAGUCUUUUAAUUGAAGGCUGGUAUGAAUGGUUGGAUGAGGUACAAGCUGUGUCAUAAAAAUUAUUUUUUGAAUUUACCUUUUUAGUCAAAAGGCUAAAAUAAAGUUAAAAGACGAGAAGACCCUAUAGAGCUUUAUAUAAUUUAUAUUUAAAUUAUUAAGAUUUUUUAAAUUUAAUUAUAUUAUUAUAUUUUGUUGGGGUGACAAUAAAAUUUAUAAAUCUUUUAUUUUUAUUAAUGAUUUAUUUAUGUUUAUAUGAUCCAGUUUUAUUGAUUAUAAAUUUAAGUUACCUUAGGGAUAACAGCGUAAUUUUUUUUGAGAGUUCUUAUCGACAAAAAAGAUUGCGACCUCGAUGUUGGAUUAAGAGUAAUUUUGGGUGUAGAAGUUCAAAGUUUAAGUCUGUUCGACUUUUAAACUCUCACAU